UGGGGAAUAUUGCACAAUGGGCGCAAGCCUGAUGCAGCCAUGCCGCGUGUGUGAAGAAGGCCUUCGGGUUGUAAAGCACUUUCAGCGAGGAGGAAGGUGGUGAACUUAAUACGUUCAUCAAUUGACGUUACUCGCAGAAGAAGCACCGGCUAACUCCGUGCCAGCAGCCGCGGUAAUACGGAGGGUGCAAGCGUUAAUCGGAAUUACUGGGCGUAAAGCGCACGCAGGCGGUUUGUUAAGUCAGAUGUGAAAUCCCCGGGCUCAACCUGGGAACUGCAUUUGAAACUGGCAAGCUAGAGUCUCGUAGAGGGGGUAGAAUUCCAGGUGUAGCGGUGAAAUGCGUAGAGAUCUGGAGGAAUACCGGUGGCGAAGGCGGCCCCCUGGANGAAGACUGACGCUCAGGUGCGAAAGCGUGGGGAGCAAACAGAUUAGNUACCCUGGUAGUCACGCUGUAAACGAUGUCGAUUUUGGAGGGUUGUGCCCUUGAGGCGUGGNUUCCGGAGCUAACGNGUUAAAUCGACCGCC
This 525-nucleotide ribosomal RNA is filed under the name uncultured bacterium. RNAcentral describes it as "partial 16S ribosomal RNA". It matches the Rfam family "Bacterial small subunit ribosomal RNA", at positions 355 to 873 of the family's 1533-position model. The record is from RNAcentral.